AUGAUCAGGUUGAUAGGUCUGAGGUGGAAGUGUGGCGACACAUGGAGCUGACAGAUACUAAUCGAUCGAGGACUUAACCAUA
This 82-nucleotide ribosomal RNA is filed under the name Bacillus subtilis. Its description in RNAcentral is "partial 23S ribosomal RNA". It matches the Rfam family "Bacterial large subunit ribosomal RNA", at positions 2844 to 2925 of the family's 2925-position model. Lineage: Bacteria; Bacillati; Bacillota; Bacilli; Caryophanales; Bacillaceae. The record is from RNAcentral. RNAcentral also lists the same sequence under 1 other name.